UGUUGCAAGUAUUUCACAAGUGUAAUCAAAUCCCCCAGAAUGUCCUUUAUUUUGUCAGAUCUCAGAUGCUAAGCACGGUUGAGCCUGGGUAGUGCUUGCAUGGGAGACUGCCUGGUAAUUCCAGGUCUUGUAAGCU
This 136-nucleotide ribosomal RNA is filed under the name Petromyzon marinus (sea lamprey). The record is from RNAcentral. Lineage: Eukaryota; Metazoa; Chordata; Hyperoartia; Petromyzontiformes; Petromyzontidae.